Molecule: ribosomal RNA, 720 nt
Filed under: Listeria monocytogenes
Lineage: Bacteria; Bacillati; Bacillota; Bacilli; Caryophanales; Listeriaceae
Description: bacterial SSU rRNA
Rfam family: Bacterial small subunit ribosomal RNA
Source: RNAcentral
UUUAAAGAGAGUUUGAUCCUGGCUCAGGACGAACGCUGGCGGCGUGCCUAAUACAUGCAAGUCGAACGAACGGAGGAAGAGCUUGCUCUUCCAAAGUUAGUGGCGGACGGGUGAGUAACACGUGGGCAACCUGCCUGUAAGUUGGGGAUAACUCCGGGAAACCGGGGCUAAUACCGAAUGAUAAAGUGUGGCGCAUGCCACGCUUUUGAAAGAUGGUUUCGGCUAUCGCUUACAGAUGGGCCCGCGGUGCAUUAGCUAGUUGGUAGGGUAAUGGCCUACCAAGGCAACGAUGCAUAGCCGACCUGAGAGGGUGAUCGGCCACACUGGGACUGAGACACGGCCCAGACUCCUACGGGAGGCAGCAGUAGGGAAUCUUCCGCAAUGGACGAAAGUCUGACGGAGCAACGCCGCGUGUAUGAAGAAGGUUUUCGGAUCGUAAAGUACUGUUGUUAGAGAAGAACAAGGAUAAGAGUAACUGCUUGUCCCUUGACGGUAUCUAACCAGAAAGCCACGGCUAACUACGUGCCAGCAGCCGCGGUAAUACGUAGGUGGCAAGCGUUGUCCGGAUUUAUUGGGCGUAAAGCGCGCGCAGGCGGUCUUUUAAGUCUGAUGUGAAAGCCCCCGGCUUAACCGGGGAGGGUCAUUGGAAACUGGAAGACUGGAGUGCAGAAGAGGAGAGUGGAAUUCCACGUGUAGCGGUGAAAUGCGUAGAUAUGUGGA